Molecule: long non-coding RNA, 548 nt
Filed under: Mus pahari (shrew mouse)
Lineage: Eukaryota; Metazoa; Chordata; Mammalia; Rodentia; Muridae
Description: predicted gene, 44170 (MGP_PahariEiJ_G0002968.1)
Source: RNAcentral
GUAAAAAGUUGGUUUAUUUGUCAUGUUUUCACUGUAUCUCAGUUAAGCCAUUUUGGUGUCCACAGUGACAGUCCUCUUGGAAGCCAGGUCAUCCCCACUCACCCACUAAUAGUGACCAUCAACCACAAGCCACCAGGUCCAGCUGACAGCUCCAGCAGCAGAGGAGGGGCAGUGGGAAGACCCUGUGGACUGGGAGGGCACCAGGCUCCUCUGCUCAGGACUGGGUCUAGACAAGGCCACGUGUGAUAUGGUGUGCGCCCUGGGCUGUGUGCAAGGGAUCUGGCCCUGAUGCUGACCUGUGUCGGGGCAAGUGGCUGUUGUCCCUUGAUUGCCAUUUGCUGGCAAGCAUAGCAGCAAGAGUCCCUAGGAGCCCCGGGUCAGGGAGGCGUUCUGCUCCUUCCACUGAGGUGUGGAGGACCCUGGUGUCCUGCCGCUGGCAGGCUGUGCCCACGCGGCUGCACACCCACCAGAGCCCCUGCCCCCUUGUGUGAAAAACCGGACCCUCUGUGUCUUAAGGUGAGCUGACAAGCGCUAAUUGCUCUGACCUC